AUGACUUUGAUCUCCGUCCUCAUCUGGACUCUCCUCUGCUGCUGCUUCACAGAGUCCAGAGGCCAGAUCACAGUGACUCAGCCUGCAGCAGUGAGCUCUGCUCUGGGAGGAUCCACAACCAUCAGCUGUAGGACCAGUCAAAGUGUUUAUGGUGGGAGCUACUUAGCCUGGUACCAACAGAGAGAUGGAGAAACUCCUAAACUGAUGAUUUACUAUGCUACCACUCGAGCAUCAGGAAUUCCAGAUCGUUUUACAGGCAGUGGAUCAAACUCUGACUUCACUCUGACCAUCAGUGGAGUUCAGGCUGAAGAUGCAGCAGUUUACUACUGUCAGAGUUAUCAUGAAAUCAACAGUCAGAGUGUG
Thunnus maccoyii (southern bluefin tuna) is the source of this 363-nucleotide non-coding RNA. NCBI's taxonomy places the organism in Eukaryota, Metazoa, Chordata, Actinopteri, Scombriformes, Scombridae. The record is from the annotation of a RefSeq genome assembly.